UAGAAUCCGUAAAUGCGCGUAAGUUGUUUUGUUUUUUAACGCGCUGCGAUUUCGUUUUUUUUUAUUGGAGGAAAACGAGCAGCGUGUCUGGACACAGACUCGGACGUGUUCGCAUUGAGGAAACGAGCGCGUUUAGAUAUUCCAAUAUAGGAAAACUUGAAAGUGCAUGGACAGUGGUUGGGUAUCUAAACGCAGGUGAGCCACUGACUAACGCACAUUGUGCCCAAUGCCAGUUCCACUGUGCGUGUGACAGCGGCUAACCUGCUUUUGGGAAUACUUCUCGCACGGAUCAUUCUGCAAGAAGUCCAAAAUCGUGUCCCGGCAUUGCUGAGGGGCGUCCUGCCCCUCCCCUUUCACACAGACUUACUGUACUUUAUUUAGGGCCCCAUUCAACAUGCCUGUGCACAGACGACUUUAGAUCUGACCUCAGUGACCGACUCUAUACUGUCUUAGGAUAUUUCACUUUUCUAUACCAGUGGAUUUGUUGUGAUCAUCUGGUGGCAUAAAGUUAUUUAUUCCCCUUAAUGGUAUGGUCAGCCCGAAAUCUGUGCAGGAAGUGCACUUAGAUAUGAUGCAUCGGUGGUAGAAGUCCAAAAAGUAUUCUAUCCACAUCAUGUCCUGUGUAAUGAAGUGUUUUUUUUAAGAUGCUGUUGUUUUUACCAAAUAAAACAUGCAAUAUGAA
Nerophis lumbriciformis (worm pipefish) is the source of this 682-nucleotide long non-coding RNA. RefSeq lists it as uncharacterized. The record is from RefSeq and is a predicted model, not a curated record. Lineage: Eukaryota; Metazoa; Chordata; Actinopteri; Syngnathiformes; Syngnathidae.